UAAACACUCAAUUAUUUCAGACUUUUAACAGAGCUUGAAGAAGAAAAGCUGUCAUAUUCUUAUGAUCUAAGAAAUUUUGUGUAUUCUAAUGCUAAUCUAUAAAUUAAAAACACAAUUAUUACAUUAAACAUAAUGUUAACUGGGGGGAAAUCUGUAAUUGUCUCCGUAUAUGUUACAUAUUGUUUCGUACUUUGUGAGACAUGUAGCUUCAUUUCAAGUCUGACAUUAUUUGCAAGUUGUAGUGGUGCUGUUGCAUGACUUUGAGACCUGUUUUGCAUGCACAGGCUAAAAAGAAAAAGAAGGAAGAAGCGGCAAAUGCCAAAUUAUUGGAGGCCGAGAAACGAAUAAAGGGAAAAGAAAUGAGAAGACAACAAGCUGUUCUUCUGAAACAUCAGGAGUUGGAGAGGCAUAGACUAGAUAUGGAACGAGAGCGAAGGCGACAACACAUGAUGCUUAUGAAAGCUAUGGAGGCUCGUAAAAAAGCAGAAGUAAGUGUAUCUUUCUAGAAAAAAUAUUACCUUAUAAAGUACCACUUUUCCUAAGGCAUUGGCUCCUCUAAAUA
This 562-nucleotide long non-coding RNA is filed under the name Rhinopithecus bieti (black snub-nosed monkey). RNAcentral describes it as "lncRNA (ENSRBIG00000045282.1)". Lineage: Eukaryota; Metazoa; Chordata; Mammalia; Primates; Cercopithecidae. The record is from RNAcentral.